CUUUGCAGGAAUGGGCUCAUCAGCCCAUCACUUAAUUGAAGAGAAUGGAAAAAAUAGCUGCAACUCUCCAGAGACAGCAGUGCUCAGUCUCCCUGGAGCUUUAAGAGGAACUGCAUUUGCUGAACAGUGACAUCUCUCACCUGGGACGGAAUAACCCCAUGCAACUGCUCAGGCUGGACACCAACUGGGGACAAGCCCCUCUGCAGAAAAGGACUUGGGGAUGCUGGUGAACAACUGAGCACAAGUCAGCAGAGCACCCAUGCAGUGCUGAAGGGUAAUGGCAUACUGUGCUGCAUUAGGUAGUGCAUCACAGCAGACUGAGGUUAAUUAUUUCCUUCUAUUUGCAAAGAUCUGGAGUGCUGUCACUAGUUUUGGGUUCCCCAGUACCAGAAAGACAAUGACAAACUGCAGAAGGGUAGGCAGAGGGCCACUGAGAUGGCUGGAGGGACCAUGAUAUCAUGAAGAGUCAGAGAGGAGUAUUUAUUCAGCCUUUCCCUCUCCAGGCUAAGGAGGUAUCCGACUGCCACCUCCAACUACCUAAGGGGUGACUGGAAAAAAGACAGGACUAAACUUUUCUCCGAGGUGCUCAGUUGCAACAGAUUAAGGUGCAGCAAGGGAAAUUCUGGUUGAUCUGCUAUUAAGAAAAAAUUCUUAAUAAGGGGUGGCGCAGCAUCAGAACAUGGGCCCAGGGAGGUGAUGGAAUAUCUGUCCUUGGAAGUGCUCAGUGCUCAGGUGGACACGGCCCUGAGGAACCUGCUCUGUAUUUGAAGUUGCCCUGCUGUGAGCAGGAGGUGGGACCAGAUGACCUCCAGAGGAAAGGUCCUUUCUCACCUAAAUUCUUCGAUGAUUCUAACGUGCCUCAUGACAUGUGUGCUAACAUAUUAAGCACACUUAAUAUAUCAUCACUGGUAUCAGGUAUCAUCAACACUUUCAUCAGCUGGAACACUGCCAAACUGACUCAAAUACUGUACAUCUUGUCUAAAUGCAAUUAAAGAGGCACAUGGCAGUUUCUCUGUAUCUCAAUUAGCCUUGUACCAUGCAUGUUGACAUUCCAAAUUAGCUGACCUGGAGGCCUGUUCCCCACUCAAUUCAGAGCUUAUAUUGAGCUUGCUUGGUUUGCUGUAAAACUUACUAAGGCUCACAAAGUAAGGCCCUCCUUCAGACUCACAUUAACCACGAUUUGGAUUUUGGGGGAAUCAAAGCAAAGCUCACACAGUACAAACCUAAUGAAUCAAACCCUGAAAGAUUAAUGUUCUUGAAUAAAGCAGCAAACCUCACAGAGAGCUCCACAGAUCUGCCUCUUCUUCUAUUGCUUUGCUCUUAGGAUGUCAGAGGAGCAGUGGGCAGUGACAUCUCUUGCACAUUGGCAUCUGUUUUUGUAAUGCUAAGUGCUAGCUCUUAUCACCCCUGUAAUCCUGUUUGGGAAGGUCUGCUACAGCAUUUUACAUUCUUAUCUUUGUUUAGUCAAUGCUGGCAAAUAAAAGCAUAAACAAAUAUCUCCACUGUA
This is a long non-coding RNA of Aquila chrysaetos chrysaetos, 1507 nucleotides long. RefSeq lists it as uncharacterized. The transcript is spliced from 2 exons. The record is from RefSeq and is a predicted model, not a curated record. NCBI's taxonomy places the organism in Eukaryota, Metazoa, Chordata, Aves, Accipitriformes, Accipitridae.